GGGGGGGGGGGGGGGGGGGGGGGGGGGGGGGGGGGCGGGCGGGGGGGGGGGGCGGGGGCGUGGAUUCGGCGGGGGACGGGUGAGGAGGGCCUAGGAAUCGGCCGGGUAGUGGGGGAUAACGUCCGGAAACGGGCGCUAAUACCGCAUACGGGCUGGGGGAGAAAGGGGGGGAUCUUCGGACCUCACGCUAUCGGAGGAGCCUAGGUCGGAUUAGAUAGUUGGUGGGGUAAAGGCCUACCAAGGCGACGAUCCGUAACUGGUCUGAGAGGAUGAUCAGUCACACUGGAACUGAGACACGGUCCAGACUCCUACGGGAGGCAGCAGUGGGGAAUAUUGGACAAUGGGCGAAAGCCUGAUCCAGCCAUGCCGCGUGUGUGAAGAAGGUCUUCGGAUUGUAAAGCACUUUAAGUUGGGAGGAAGGGCAGUAAGUUAAUACCUUGCUGUUUUGACGUUACCAACAGAAUAAGCACCGGCUAACUUCGUG
This 484-nucleotide ribosomal RNA is filed under the name uncultured bacterium. Its description in RNAcentral is "partial 16S ribosomal RNA". It matches the Rfam family "Bacterial small subunit ribosomal RNA", at positions 39 to 507 of the family's 1533-position model. The record is from RNAcentral.